This 391-nucleotide long non-coding RNA is filed under the name Cricetulus griseus (Chinese hamster). Its description in RNAcentral is "lncRNA (ENSCGRG00000024815.1)". Lineage: Eukaryota; Metazoa; Chordata; Mammalia; Rodentia; Cricetidae. The record is from RNAcentral.
CCAUGAUGGAGAGUGGGUUUUAGGGUACGGAUGGUUGGCUCUCUCUUGCUUCCAGUUGGGUCACAGAGGGCAGCCUGAGUGAAUCCUUGGAGCUGGAAUUUGCGGUGGUCACCCACUUCUUGUGAGAAGAUCUGAUAGGAACAGCCAGUUCCAAUCUAUGACUGUUCUCCAGCCAGAUAUUUUUGGAAGUUAGAUAUCAUAUUGGCUAACAAAAUGAGGUAGUACCUCAUGAGUUAAACUUUAUCUGUGACUGAAGAAUAACACCAGCUCUGGUGACAUGACCGGUGCUUUGCUUUUUUCCCACUGAAAUGCUUUCAUUUGGAAUGCUCAGUUCUGAAUGAAGACCACCUGUGUGAAUGGAACCAAGUGGCACCCUUCUAGUGGCUCAUCG